RNAcentral lists this ribosomal RNA (305 nucleotides) under uncultured bacterium. RNAcentral's name for it is "bacterial SSU rRNA". It matches the Rfam family "Bacterial small subunit ribosomal RNA", at positions 333 to 656 of the family's 1533-position model. The record is from RNAcentral.
GCACCUACGGGGCGCAGCAGUGGGGAAUAUUGGGCAAUGGGCGCAAGCCUGACCCAGCGACGCCGCGUGAGGGAAGACGGUCUUCGGAUUGUAAACCUCUUUCAGCAGGGAAGACAAAAGGACGGUACCUGCAGAAGAAGCCACGGCUAACUACGUGCCAGCAGCCGCGGUAAUACGUAGGUGGCAAGCGUUAUCCGGAUUUAUUGGGUUUAAAGGGUGCGUAGGCGGGCUGCCAAGUCAGCGGUAAAAUUGCGGGGCUCAACCCCGUCGAGCCGUUGAAACUGGCGGUCUUGAGUGGGCGAGAG